This 871-nucleotide long non-coding RNA is filed under the name Elaeis guineensis (African oil palm). Its description in RNAcentral is "long non-coding RNA (EGUI_LNC038067)". Lineage: Eukaryota; Viridiplantae; Streptophyta; Magnoliopsida; Arecales; Arecaceae. The record is from RNAcentral.
ACUUUGAGAGCUUCUAAGUCUUGCUCCCAUGCCUUGGGACAAUCGUCUGCUACUCAUGGAUGGGCAAACAUGGGAGUCGAGCUAGACCGCUCGAUCCUAUCUCCGUCAUAUGUUGUAUACCUCACAGCACCUCCAACUUAAGACUUGCUCGGGGUCGUCUCCGCGUGACGUUGCUCAUCCUCCCGAGUCUCUCAUCCCAUGCCUGAUCUAUCUCCAUCUAGAACUCCACGUCGCACUGGGCUCCCGCUAGCAUCCUCCAUCUCCUUGCACAAGAGAGCAUUGAUCAACCCUCCAUGAUCGAUCUCCAUCUUAAUUGCAUCUAUCUUCUCCAUCUUCAAUCUUACUCACCACCAUCGUAACCUCGCAUUGGUAUUGCCUUGGCUCUGAUACCAAUUGUUGUGAAGGAUCCAGUACCUUAUAUUGCAGCAGGAAGAAAAAAGAAAUAAAACAGAGUACACACAAUCAAGUACGUGGAAUAGCUCAAGUGCUGCCUCCAUGGGGCAUGCAAGCUUCAUUAGGAGAAAAAAAUAAUACAAGAGGAGAACAUCCACUCUCAAUUCUCUAUAUACAUACCUCUCUCAACUUGAAGCUACUCUCACAAAAGCUCUUUUAAAAUCCUUCAAGGAGAUCCUCUCACAAGCCUGCCAGUAUUAGGAUCCUCGAUGCCCCUGGAUUCUUUCUGUGGAAGUUACUACAUCAUGCCUCACCGCAGCUGCUCUGUCGGUUACUCUGCUCUGCCCUUGAUCCCCUACCGAUGCUCUGCAGUGUUUGCUUUGCUUGCUGCACACUCUUAGCGCACACUGGACUCUCUCUUGAUGGUUGUCAAGGCCUCUCCUCAGCUUUAAUGUCUUCUCUGCACGAUCAGGACCUC